This is a non-coding RNA of Podarcis lilfordi (Lilford's wall lizard), 69 nucleotides long. NCBI's taxonomy places the organism in Eukaryota, Metazoa, Chordata, Lepidosauria, Squamata, Lacertidae. The record is from the annotation of a GenBank genome assembly.
GCCAUCACUCAGUGGUAGAGCACCUGCUUUGCAUGCAGAAGGCCCCAGUUUCAAUCCCUCGCAUCUACA